GUACACACCGCCCGUCGCUCCUACCAAUUGAAUAAAAAGAUAAAAUUAGUGGAGAAUAUUAUUUAUUCAAAACUAAUUGAAUCUCUGUAUUUGUAGGAAGGAGAAGUCGUAACAAGGUUUUCGUAGGUGAACCUGCAGAAGGAUCA
Molecule: ribosomal RNA, 146 nt
Filed under: uncultured eukaryote
Lineage: Eukaryota
Description: partial small subunit ribosomal RNA
Rfam family: Eukaryotic small subunit ribosomal RNA
Source: RNAcentral